This 497-nucleotide ribosomal RNA is filed under the name uncultured bacterium. RNAcentral's name for it is "partial 16S ribosomal RNA". It matches the Rfam family "Bacterial small subunit ribosomal RNA", at positions 28 to 507 of the family's 1533-position model. The record is from RNAcentral.
GAUGAACGCUGGCGGCGUGCCUAAUACAUGCGAGUCGAGCGAACAGAUGAGGAGCUUGCUCCUCUGACGUUAGCGGCGGACGGGUGAGUAACACGUGGAUAGCCUACCUAUAAGACUGGGAUAACUUCGGGAAACCGGAGCUAAUACCGGAUAAUAUAUUGAACCGCAUGGUUCAAUAGUGAAAGACGGUUUUGCUGUCACUUAUAGAUGGAUCCGCGCCGCAUUAGCUAGUUGGUAAGGUAACGGCUUACCAAGGCAACGAUGCGUAGCCGACCUGAGAGGGUGAUCGGCCACACUGGAACUGAGACACGGUCCAGACUCCUACGGGAGGCAGCAGUAGGGAAUCUUCCGCAAUGGGCGAAAGCCUGACGGAGCAACGCCGCGUGAGUGAUGAAGGUCUUCGGAUCGUAAAACUCUGUUAUUAGGGAAGAACAAAUGUGUAAGUAACUAUGCACGUCUUGACGGUACCUAAUCAGAAAGCCACGGCUAACUACGUG